ACUCCCCCCUCAAAGAGGAGUGUAUAAUAUUAAUCCAAAUGCAGUUUAUUUAUGGAUGGGAGAUCGUCUUUCUUGCAUUGUGGAUGAAAAAGACACUAUAACAUAUCAAAUCUUUACUUUAGAUAUGGAUUCAGGAAAAUGGACUCUUUAUCAUGUGAUAGGACCUUUUGAUAAUACUAUUUGCCCCCGUAAGCGUGGUUUUGAUUUUGAUAUACAGGGGACGGUUGUGUUGUUUCUGUUUUGGUUCAAUGACCAAAUUAUCUUUAGAGUAGAGUUCAUUCCAACACGAAUGCCACGAAAGUCAUAUAUACAAAUGUCAAUGUCAUCUACACGAAGAUUACCAACGGAAAAAGUACAUUUUUGUUACAAUGUCAAGACCAGACAACUGACAAAGAUUGAUUGCAUUAGGAAAUUAUUAUAAGAGAAUAUCCACUCCCCCCUCAAAGAGGAGUGUAUAAUAUUAAUCCAAAUGCAGUUUAUUUAUGGAUGGGAGAUCGUCUUUCUUGCAUUGUGGAUGAAAAAGACACUAUAACAUAUCAAAUCUUUACUUUAGAUAUGGAUUCAGGAAAAUGGACUCUUUAUCAUGUGAUAGGACCUUUUGAUAAUACUAUUUGCCCCCGUAAGCGUGGUUUUGAUUUUGAUAUACAGGGGACGGUUGUGUUGUUUCUGUUUUGGUUCAAUGACCAAAUUAUCUUUAGAGUAGAGUUCAUUCCAACACGAAUGCCACGAAAGUCAU
This 736-nucleotide long non-coding RNA is filed under the name Cicer arietinum (chickpea). Its description in RNAcentral is "long non-coding RNA (CARI_LNC001694)". Lineage: Eukaryota; Viridiplantae; Streptophyta; Magnoliopsida; Fabales; Fabaceae. The record is from RNAcentral.